Molecule: ribosomal RNA, 915 nt
Filed under: Marinobacter sp. B9-2
Lineage: Bacteria; Pseudomonadati; Pseudomonadota; Gammaproteobacteria; Pseudomonadales; Marinobacteraceae
Description: bacterial LSU rRNA
Rfam family: Bacterial large subunit ribosomal RNA
Source: RNAcentral
GUUAUAUAGUCAAGCAACUAAGCGCAUACGGUGGAUGCCUUGGCAGUCAGAGGCGAUGAAAGACGUGGAAGCCUGCGAUAAGGUUCGGGGAGCUGGCAAACAAGCUGUGAUCCGGGCAUUUCUGAAUGGGGAAACCCACCGACUUUCGGGUCGGUAUCUUACACUGAAUCCAUAGGUGUAAGAGGCGAACCGGGGGAACUGAAACAUCUAAGUACCCCGAGGAAAAGAAAUCAACCGAGAUUCCCUAAGUAGCGGCGAGCGAACGGGGAUUAGCCCUUAAGCUAAACAACUGGUAGGAGAAGGCUCUGGAAAGUGCCGCCAUAGUGGGUGAUAGCCCCGUAUCCGAAACCUGAGUUUAGUGAAAUCGAGUAGGACGGGACACGUGAUAUCCUGUCUGAACAUGGGGGGACCAUCCUCCAAGGCUAAAUACUCCUGACUGACCGAUAGUGAACCAGUACCGUGAGGGAAAGGCGAAAAGAACCCCUGUGAGGGGAGUGAAAUAGAUCCUGAAACCGUAUGCGUACAAGCAGUCGGAGCGGACUUGUUCCGUGACGGCGUACCUUUUGUAUAAUGGGUCAGCGACUUAUGUUCAGUGGCGAGGUUAACCGUUUAGGGGAGCCGUAGGGAAACCGAGUCUGAAUAGGGCGAUUUAGUCGCUGGGCAUAGACCCGAAACCGGGCGAUCUAUCCAUGAGCAGGUUGAAGGUGCCGUAACAGGCACUGGAGGACCGAACCCACUGUCGUUGAAAAGCCAGGGGAUGACUUGUGGAUCGGAGUGAAAGGCUAAUCAAGCCCGGAGAUAGCUGGUUCUCCCCGAAAGCUAUUUAGGUAGCGCCUCGGACGAAUACCACAGGGGGUAGAGCACUGUUUCGGCUAGGGGGUCAUCCCGACUUACCAACCCGAUGCAAACUCCGAA